RNAcentral lists this ribosomal RNA (191 nucleotides) under uncultured bacterium. RNAcentral describes it as "partial 16S ribosomal RNA". It matches the Rfam family "Bacterial small subunit ribosomal RNA", at positions 338 to 521 of the family's 1533-position model. The record is from RNAcentral.
CCUACGGGGGGCAGCAGUCGGGAAUAUUGCGCAACGGGCGAAAGCCUGACGCAGCAACGCCGCGUGGAGGAUGAAGGCCUUCGGGUUGUAAACUCCUGUCAGGUGGGAAGAACGGACAUCGGUUAAGAGCUAGUGCCUCUGACGGUACCACCAGAGGAAGCCCCGGCUAACUCCGUGCCAGCAGCCGCGGU